AUUGAAUCUAUCGUGCUCACACCGUGAACCAUUUAUGCCCUUUCUGAAAGGCUGCUCCUGAAAGGGAGGUUACCCUUUGAAAGCGCAGGUCAGGGGCUGCAGCUCUUUGGCUGUCAGUUGACUNGGCUGGGCGGGUCCAAUAUCAGUUGGGUUCCAUCUUGCCUUGGCCUGAGCGUUCCUGGCUGUGAGGGGUGGCUUGAAAAACUCUUAAGCAUUUUUUCUGAAGACAGACUGCUAGCUGGCUUGCUGGCUGCAGACUGAUUUAAUAAUGACAACUCUCAACAACGGAUAUCUUGGCUCCCGUAACGAUGAAGAACGCAGCGAAAUGCGAUACGUAGUGUGAAUUGCAGAAUUCCGUGAACCAUCGAAUCUUUGAACGCAAAUUGCGCUUGAGGCUUCGGCCAAGAGCAUGUCUGGCUCAGCGUCGGCUUACUACCCUCAAUGAAUUCCCUUGUGGACACUGAUUGGAGCUGGCUUUCCGGUUUUCCGACUAGGUUGCCGGUCAGCUGAAAAACAUUCGCGCUAUGGGAGCUGCUUUCCCUUCAAAAAGGAAAGCCGAGUUCCGAUUUGGUAGGUGACCUUUGCCGGUUGCAUGCCUUCGUUGCUCGCCAUGGCUUCCAUGAAAGCGUGUGCAGGACGCCUUUUGGCUUUCGACCUGAGCUCAGGCAAGAACACCCGCUGAACUUAAGCAUAUCAAUAAGCGGAGGAAAAGAAACUAACUAGGAUUCCCUUAGUAGCGGCG
Molecule: ribosomal RNA, 742 nt
Filed under: uncultured Trebouxia photobiont
Lineage: Eukaryota; Viridiplantae; Chlorophyta; Trebouxiophyceae; Trebouxiales; Trebouxiaceae
Description: eukaryotic LSU rRNA
Rfam family: 5.8S ribosomal RNA (bases 274-427)
Source: RNAcentral